GGGCUGAUGCCGGGGUUGCCAGCACAGCUCUGGUCCAAGGAGCUGAGGUGAGGGGGUGGACAGGCCCCAUCCCAGAGUCUCAGGGAGGCUGGUGCUGGCUUCCAGGCUCGGCCGGGCAUGUCACUGCCAGCCAGCACCAGGGACCCCACCUGGCACAGGCCCUCCCUCCACACCUGCCCAGGGCCCUCCCUCUGUUCCUGCCUGCUGAGGCAGCCUCUGCUGGCUCCCAGGCCUAGAUCCCAGCUGGAAGUCAGGCGGAGGUCUCCUGAGGGAUUUCCAGAACCUUCCUUCGGUGGCCCCGGAGCUUUUCUCCACCAGGCCUUUGGGCUUGUCUCCAUUUCAAGUUCUCUUUUUCUGCUGGGGGAUCUCUGGCCAACAGCCCUCCUCCGGGACGCUGCCCUUCCCUUGUGUGGGACCUUCCCCUGACUGACUGAUGGACAUGGGUGGACAGACGGCUGGCCUCUGCAUCAAGACGGGACCUGCAUGGGAGCCACACAAGCUCCGGUGUCCUGUGUGGCCGGGCUGCCUGCACAUCCUGCCUGCACGUCCUGCCCAUUCAUGUUUCUUUUCCCAGCUGCCCCCACAGGGGCACGCGGCCCUCAGGACCAGGAGCGCCACAGGAGGCAGCUGGCAGGGCAGGCUCUGCAGGUGGCUGUUUGGCCUGCCGAUGGGGUGCAGGUUCCGCUGCUGGGGCAGGUCCGGGGUUGACAGUCACCAGAGGCCGUAGUGGUGGGACUGCAGCUGUUGCUAAGAGCCACUGAUGCACCGAGGAGAGAAAACGACAGGUUCGGGCCUGCUAAUCAUCCAGUUGGAGCACGUGGGAGUCAGAGGGCCACCCGGAAGCCUCGAAGGAGAAGCUCCCUUCCUGCAGUCGGGGCAGAGAGAGUUUGGCGGUGAGGCCCAGGACUUGCUGGAAGCAGGCAGCAUGCUGGAGAAGGUGUUUCUGACUGGGGUGACCACCCUAAGCGCCCUCCCUCUAUCCUGGUGAAACUGGAAUCCUCACACACCCCACAGAGGUGACUAUUCUUGCUGACCAGCACCACAGAGAUGACCUUUGGCCUGUUGGGGAAUUGGGGGCCCGAGUUCUGCAUCCUGGCACAUGUUUGCAUAUGCCGAUGGGGUCCUCUGAGGGUGCGCCUCUGCCUGAGGCCAGCGCUGGGCCUCUGGCCUCUGGUUGAGACCUACGGGGCUCACACCUUCCUGUUCGUCUGCUCCAGCGUCUUCUUGCUGUUUCAUGAAUCUGAUGCUCCUCAGCAACCUCCUCUCUCAGGAACCCUGGGGACCCAGCACGUCAUUAAUCAUCGGGACCAGGGAGGUGCCACCGCUUCUCCCAGCAGGACAGGCCAGUCCUGCAGUGGCCAUGCUGGACAGCCACACCCAUGGGAGGGUAGAGGAGAGGCACGAAGACCACAGCCUCUGCCCGUGGCCACACGGGCAUUGUUGCUCCCAGGGUCUGGCUGAGGGUCCCUGCGUGCCAGACCCAGAUCAUGUCCAGAUGGCUCCUGAGCAGGGAGGUGCAGGCUGGGGAGGGAUCCCAGGGCCGUGGGAGCCUGCUGAGGGCAGCACACAUCGCAGGCACCUGCAGGAAUACGGCUCUGCGGGGGCCUGCUCUGUGAAAUGGGGGAGGGCACUGCAGGGCGAAGAACUAGAGUGAGCAAAGGUGUGGGGGGAGGAGUGGGUGCCGGGCACACUGCACCCUCAGCAGACCCUGAUCCAGCUGCCUGCAGGCUGGAGGCACCAGCGAAGGGCAGAAAGGGCCUGUGCGGUGUGGAGGGGCCGGGGUGGUGAUGGGGCUCACAGGGGAGGCAGGACAGGACUGGCUUU
Long non-coding RNA from Manis javanica (Malayan pangolin), 1824 nucleotides. RefSeq lists it as uncharacterized. NCBI's taxonomy places the organism in Eukaryota, Metazoa, Chordata, Mammalia, Pholidota, Manidae. The record is from RefSeq and is a predicted model, not a curated record.